This 72-nucleotide transfer RNA is filed under the name Bos taurus (domestic cattle). It matches the Rfam family "tRNA". From Rfam's summary of the family: Transfer RNA (tRNA) molecules are approximately 80 nucleotides in length. Their secondary structure includes four short double-helical elements and three loops (D, anti-codon, and T loops). The record is from Rfam by way of RNAcentral. RNAcentral also lists the same sequence under 1 other name. Lineage: Eukaryota; Metazoa; Chordata; Mammalia; Artiodactyla; Bovidae.
UCCCUAGUGACGCAGAUGGUAAAGAACCUGCCUGCAAAGCGGGAGACCCGGGUUCGAUCCCUGGGUAGGGAA